UUAUAUUGAGAGUUUGAUCCUGGCUCAGGAUGAACGCUGGCGGCGUGCUUAACACAUGCAAGUCGAACGGACGGAUUGGAGCUUGCUCCAUGAAGUUAGUGGCGGACGGGUGAGUAACGCGUGGGUAACCUGCCCUAUGCAGGGGGAUAACGUUUGGAAACGAACGCUAAUACCGCAUAACCUAGUUGGUUCGCAUGAACCGGCUAGCAAAGAUUUUAUCGGCAUAGGAUGGACCCGCGUUGGAUUAGCUAGUUGGUGAGAUAACAGCCCACCAAGGCAACGAUCCAUAGCCGGCCUGAGAGGGUGAACGGCCACACUGGGA
This 322-nucleotide ribosomal RNA is filed under the name Zhenhengia yiwuensis. Its description in RNAcentral is "bacterial SSU rRNA". It matches the Rfam family "Bacterial small subunit ribosomal RNA", at positions 1 to 318 of the family's 1533-position model. The record is from RNAcentral. Lineage: Bacteria; Bacillati; Bacillota; Clostridia; Lachnospirales; Lachnospiraceae.